GCUUACCUCUUCAAUAGUUUGCGAAGGCUCUUUGUCUUUGUGAAUUGAUGGUUUCCUGUGUUGCCUACCUAAUCAAAGGUAUUUUGCUGGUUAAUUGUUGUCCCUUUUUAUCUAGUGUCUAUCCUAUGACACUUGGUAAACCAUGAAGUGGUUUCUUUGAUCCUCAUCGUCAAUGAAAUAUUUGAUUUUGUGGCUCAUUGACCAUCGCUUGGUCUCUUGGAUACAAAACAUGAUGUUUGCAUAUUGGUUCUCAUGGAUUUUGUGGCUCAUUGAGCGAUCUCAUGUUAUCCUUUURUUGCUCUCAUUUAGUUUUCGCGCAUCUCUACAUGGUGUUAGCAUGUUGGUUUUCAUGGAUUUUGKGGCUCAUUGAGCGAUCUAUGUUACCCUUUCAUUGCUCUCAUUUAGUGCUCGCGCAUCUCUUGAAAUGAUUGCUUCCCUUGCCUAGGUGCAUGGGAGGCAUGUCAAAGAGGAAUGC
Molecule: unclassified non-coding RNA, 475 nt
Filed under: Layia glandulosa
Lineage: Eukaryota; Viridiplantae; Streptophyta; Magnoliopsida; Asterales; Asteraceae
Description: partial external transcribed spacer
Source: RNAcentral